RNAcentral lists this ribosomal RNA (439 nucleotides) under uncultured bacterium. RNAcentral describes it as "bacterial SSU rRNA". It matches the Rfam family "Bacterial small subunit ribosomal RNA", at positions 338 to 795 of the family's 1533-position model. The record is from RNAcentral.
CCUACGGGGGGCUGCAGUGGGGAAUAUUGCACAAUGGGGGAAACCCUGAUGCAGCAACGCCGCGUGAGCGAUGAAGGCCUUCGGGUCGUAAAGCUCUGUCCUAAGGGAAGAAUACUGACGGUACCUUAGGAGGAAGCCCCGGCUAACUACGUGCCAGCAGCCGCGGUAAUACGUAGGGGGCUAGCGUUAUCCGGAAUUACUGGGCGUAAAGGGUGCGUAGGCGGCCCUUCAAGUCAGAGGUGAAAGGCUACGGCUCAACCGUAGUAAGCCUUUGAAACUGUAGGGCUUGAGUGCAGGAGAGGGGGGUGGAAUUCCAAGGGUAGCGGUGAAAUGGGUAAAUAUUGGGGGGAACACAAUUGGCGAAGGCGGCUUUCUGGACUGUAACUGACGCUGGGGAACGAAAGCGUGGGAGCGAACAGGAUUAGAUACCCUAGUAGUC